AUUGGGUGUAAAGCGCGCGUAGGUGGUUCGUUAAGUUGGAUGUGAAAGCCCCGGGCUCAACCUGGGAACUGCAUCCAAAACUGGCGAGCUAGAGUAUGGCAGAGGGUGGUGGAAUUUCCUGUGUAGCGGUGAAAUGCGUAGAUAUAGGAAGGAACACCAGUGGCGAAGGCGACCACCUGGGCUAAUACUGACACUGAGGUGCGAAAGCGUGGGGAGCAAACAGGAUUAGAUACCCCAGUA
RNAcentral lists this ribosomal RNA (240 nucleotides) under uncultured Pseudomonas sp. RNAcentral's name for it is "partial 16S ribosomal RNA". It matches the Rfam family "Bacterial small subunit ribosomal RNA", at positions 553 to 792 of the family's 1533-position model. Lineage: Bacteria; Pseudomonadati; Pseudomonadota; Gammaproteobacteria; Pseudomonadales; Pseudomonadaceae. The record is from RNAcentral.